Corapipo altera (White-ruffed manakin) is the source of this 5471-nucleotide RNA transcript. It is a transcript of the gene named IQ motif containing E, with no coding region annotated. The transcript is spliced from 23 exons. NCBI's taxonomy places the organism in Eukaryota, Metazoa, Chordata, Aves, Passeriformes, Pipridae. The record is from RefSeq and is a predicted model, not a curated record.
GCCGCCCCCAGCCCCGACACGGCCCGAAGGGGCCCCUGCGGCCCCGCCGCCCCGUGAGGCCUCCCCGCCGCCCUCCCAACAUGGCCCGCGGGGCUGGCGAGGCGGCAGCGGAGGGGGAACUGGGAGAUGAUAGCCUGUCUGUGAUAACCUGUGAGUCAGACACAGAAAUGAAGUUAAAGAAGAAGAUUUUUCACAAGCCUCCCAAGUCACCAAAGUCUCCCUACAGCUCUAGCACACAACUGUAUCCCAAAAAAGCUGCAGCUUGGCGAUCUCUGCAGGGAACAGGCAGUGCAUGUUCAGAGAGUGCAGCUGUAAAAAAGCCAAGGCAGCUGUGGCUGGAAUCACUGAAACAAGGAAUGAGCCAUCCUCUGAAAUCAGAUGUUGACAUGGGGCAUAUGCGAACCAACAUUUCCAGUAGCACUCCAGAAUAUUUGAAGGAAGCUCUAGGAAUGAAGAAGCCAAAACAUUCUCGUUCUUCUAGUAAUGGCUACAUUCCUGGAACUCCUGACUACAAAGAAAAAGAAGAUAUGUAUGAUGAAAUUAUAGAACUGAAGAAGACAAUACAAGCUCAGAAAAAUGAGGGAGAUCGAAUGAAAACGAAGCUCCGUCGACUGGAACAGGAGAACAGUAGGAAGGAUAAACAGAUUGAACAACUGUUGGAUCCUUCCAGGGGCUCUGAGCUGGCACGAGCUUUAUUAGAAAAGAAGAAUGAUAAUGGAUGGGUGGUCAGUGGAUUAAAGCAGAAGAUUCUCAAGCUUGAACAGCAGUGCAAGGAGAAAGACAACACUAUUAAUGAAUUCCAGGCAGACAUGAAGACCAACAAUUUGGAAGAAGUGAGGUUAGCUAUGGAAACCUACUAUGAAGAGGUUCAUCGCCUCCAACUCCUCCUGGCAAAGUCUGAGACUAUGAGGAAAAAUACAGAGAGCAGAGAUACCCAGAAGAGACUAAAGUCACUGAAUGCUGCUGUCCUGAGAUUGUCCAGGAACAUCAAGGAGUUGCAGACUGAGAAUCGGAGGCUGAAGGAAGAUCUGGAUCAUGUACUGAGCAGUUCUCCUCCUCCCAGUAAAACAAAAAAUUAUAGUGAGUGGAGCAGACAGAGGCUGGUGAGGCGGAUUUCAGAACUGGAAAAAAAAGUAUGUGCCAUGGAGAGCACCAGGGUGUCACCAGCAGAUAGUGACUCAUCACAGUUGCCUGCUGUGUCAUCUUCACCUUCUGUAGACCUGGAUCAUCCAGCCCCCCAAUACAUAGACCAUGUUGAGGAAUGUCAUCAUCUCCAAAGGGAAGUGAAGAAACUGAAGAGUGACAGGAAGGCACUUCAAAAUCUCCUACUCAGUAAAGAAUCAGAUAUCAAGCAGUUGCUGCAGGCUAAGGCUGAAGUGGAGCUGGAGCUGCAGAAGUGGCAGAGUAAGAUGGAAGAAAAGAGUACAGAAAAACAGACUUUAAGUGAGGAAAUCCAGAACCUGACACAGAAAGUAGAGAAACUGGAGUCAAAAUUGGAGGAAGAGAAAAGACAAAUGGCAGAAGAUACAGUGGAAAAUCUUCAUAAGUCUUCACCAGUCUGCACAGUUAAAGGCAAAGAAGAUCACAGGGAAGAACAAGCAGCCAAAAUCAUCCAGAGACACUGGAAGAUGUACAAAACCAAGAAAGAAGAAAUUGCUCUGGAUGAGGCAGUUGUGGUGCUGCAGGCAGCUCUCAGAGGACAUUUAGCUCGACAGAAACUGUUACUGAAUAAUGAGAUCCACGAAGCAAAAUCUCUCAACAAGAACUCCUGCGUGUCUUCCAUGUCAGACUCCUUGGGCUUGUCCUCUGAUUGCGAGGAGAGAGAUGAGACUGUGACGUUCAUUCAGUCCAUUUUCAGGGCUCACUCAGCACGUGCAGUUCUGCUUGAGGAGAGGUCUUCCAUGUCCAGUGCACCAAGUGAGAAAGCAGAUUCUGCACUUUACAGUACAGAGAAGAAACCAGUCUCAGCAGCACUCCAGAGACCUCCUUCAGUCCUAAUGUCGCCUCUUCCUGCUGUUUGUGAGAAGAUGGAGUUAAAGCCAAAGAGGCUUUUAGGAGGAUGUUAGAAGUCCUGAGUGGGAAAGGCAAAACAAUGCUGCAGAUAAGGCAGCUUCAGACAUGCAGCUUCAAAGGAGUUAAAAACAAAUUGAAAAAGAUGAAGAAAAGCUACAACCACUUUUAAGUUUUGGUGACAGGCUCUGAUGAUCUUGAAUUAUUGAAUUCACGAACAAAACUAUUUGUACCAAGAUCAGGCAUGUCAAAGAUGAAGAGAGGAGGAAUAGCAACCCCUUUUUAAUGGCAGUUGACAUUAUUUCAGCCAUUCUUUCAUAUGUCAUCUCUGCAGACUUUAUGGCUAAAAGCCACUGACUGACUGUUAACCUUGCCCUGGCACACAGAGAGUUUGGAUUUAAAAACUCAACCAAAACACUUUAAUGUUUUGUUUCACAAUGAAGAUUGUAAAUUCAGCUGACAAAUUCAAGUGAAAGCAAUAAAGCCUUAAGCUAUUUCAUGUCAAACAAAGUUUUGUUUCAGAUCAACUAAAAUAUAAUUUGUGUAAUCAGAAAGUGGUUAAUGACGUGACUCCAAUUUUCAGCCUGUGUAUGUUCAAGGGUACAGCUGGUAUUUGUUACCUGGACCUUCCUAUUUAAAAAUUUUACUUGUCAUAUUUUGUAUCUUUUUUUGUUAAUUUUUAUACUGAACAUUUACAGACCUUGUAAGCCAUUCCUCUGUCAUAGGGCCAUUCUAGGCCUACUGUAUCAGCUGGCUUUCCUUAUUUAUUGCUCUUUCCACAUGUGCUUGUGAUGAUGUGUACAGAAUGUUUUGUAUUUGAAAUGUCUGAUCACAUAAUCAGAUUUUUGCAUUUGUCAGGGCAGGUGUGUAGUGGCAGGAGUGUUCUGUGAAGGUAUCCCCUUGUGACUGCUUUCUGCUUACAGAUCACAGAUUUGAGUUCAUUAUACAGAGUCAUCUCUAAGAUGUGAAAACAUGUGACACAGGAGAUAGGACUGUCUGAAAUGUUCACCUGACUGCAGUGCUCAUGCACUGAGGGGAGGAGCACUAAGGUUUUAAGUCUGAUGUUCCUUUGCUGUGGUUGAUACCUGUUCCCAGUACUACCUUUGCCUGUGCACACCUGCACAGUGGGUCCAGGCAGAAUUUGAGAGAGGGAUCACAUAUCCACCCAUCUUCUGUCCUCAGGUAAAGCUGCCAGGCUGGUGCUGGAGAACAUGGGCACUGCCCACUUAGUUCUGUGCAUUGUGGAUUAGGAUGAGCAUAAUAAAAAAAAACUAAUCCAUGCAGUUUGGUUUGGGAACAGAAGUGGUAGGUUGAAUUAAAAAAUUAAGACUGCAUCCAGAAACAGCACUGACAAUAGCAUUGUCCACGGAAAGACCAAAGACCUAAGGGGCUGUGGAGAAUAUAAUCAGAGGGGUCUUUCCAGAUCUUCUGUGCAGACUGUACUUUUUGACUGGAGAAUUCCUACUGUCACACCAACACCCUUCAAAAUCAUUAAAAUGCUUAUGUGGGUUUUUUUAAUCAUGAUAUUUAUUGAAAGGAUAAUUUCAUUUUACAUGCACACAGCGAAGGUUUGCUGGAAACUCUAAUGGUUUCUUUGUCAUCCAAGAGUAAUAAAGUCUCCUGUAAACAGAAAGCACACUCUUAAAUAUAAGAUUUUUAUCACCUUCUCUUUUUUAAAUUAAAAAUCAGUCACCACUGUUUUGCAGAAUACCAAUAAGUCAGAGCUGUCUCCGUUUUGUGAUUUCAGUGAAGGACUAUCUGAAGCUUAUCAGAGUUUAUGCCAGUACUUGCAGCCAAAGAGGAAACUGGAUGGCUGCAGCACAAUGCAGCUGAUUUCAUUUAAUCCCAUCGGUGGAAAUGCUGCCUGUACUAUUUCCAAAGGCAGUUCUGGGAGCUCUCCAUACCCAAAGCAGCCUGAAGAAUGUCAUUUGCACUCCCAAUGGGUAAAUUUUUCCUGGCUGUACUUUGGUCACAUGACUGUCAUCUGCAGAAAGGAUAAAAAAAUAUAUAUAAAAUAAAAGGGAUAGAAUCCUCUUGGUAGAAGCUGAGACCUGCUUCCCUCUGUUUCUGGAAGUCAUGUUAAGAAGAAGGGUCAUUUUGCUAAAUGGAAGCAGAGCUGUACUGAGUUGCCUGUGUAUAAUAUUUCAAGUCUGUAACUGGGGCUCUGUCAUGGAUCUCUCCAGAGAGUAACUAGAGCUGAGGACUGACACAUUAAGGGAAGGGUAUGUAGUGUGUCAGGACCCAGACUGGUAUCAAAUACCUACCUAGCUGUUAUCCUACAGGGAAAUACUGAGACAGCAAAUAUAAUAAAGAUGACAUUCUUUUACUUUACUGUGCUGUAAUGACCAAUAUGAAAGCAUUAGGAAGUUGAUACAGAGCAGGAAGAUUUGUGUUUUACCUGAGCCUGUGACCAGCAGUAGAGCUGUCAACAGACAACUUCUGGCAUAAAGGGGAGCUGGUAUCUUGGGAUGACCCAAAGGCACAGGAUCAGGAUGAAAAAGAUGAAACAUUUUCUGGAAGGAGUGAAAAUAUGUCUAGAGCUUUCUAAAUUUGAGACUGCUAUCUCCUAGGUAUCAAAAAUCAGAUACUUUACUUGAGAUGGGUUUCAAACUGAUAUUUUGGUUUGGAGGAGAACUUGCUCACUGCACAACGAGUUUGGUGUGGUACAGUAGGAAGAGAAACCUCCACAGUAUCAGUAGCCUUUAACAUGGUUGUGUUGUACACUGGAAUGGAGUGUGUUGAAGGGAACAGCGGUGGACACAAGGUUUUGUUCUGUGGUUAUCUGAACGCCAGCACCUGUGGGAAGAAGUGUGGAACAAGGAUGGAAGAAAAAAUUAUUUGAAUAAAUGGCAUUUUUCCUCAACAGGGAGCCGAGGACAGUGAAAGUCAGUGUGGCUCAAACCUCUCAAAAUAAACCCAAUACAAACAUGUUGUUUCUGAAAAAUAAGUUUUCUGUAGAAAGCCCUGGAAACCUUGUGGGGGCAUCAAGGUCUUGAAUUAAAAUUAAAUUCCACUGUAACCUAUGUAAUCUAAAAGCACACUUUCCAUGCUGUUGAUAUGGAAUAAUGUUUCCAACUUAAAACCUUUUGCAGUGUUUAGUUAGAGAUUGUGUGUGAGUACAGAGAUUGGACUUUAAUGGGACAUUAUCUCUCUUGAUCUCUUUUUGCCCUUAAGUGCCUUUGCCUGUAAAUCUUUACUGAGGCAUCAAGACAUGAAAACUGUGGUUUUUUGCAUAGCUAUAAAAAUAAUCCCUGCACAGGCAACUUUUAAUGUAGUCAAAAUGGAAAAGGAGUAAUCUUGGCGUAUGAGAGCACCAUUAAUUUUUAUGAUCUUUUUAAUAUUCAGAACUGUGCAAGUAUUUUAUGUAACUUAUUUUGGGAUCCUCGAAAAGCUAACACAAUUGCAAUGUGUUUACUCCUGAUUGUUGAAUUUUGAAAUAAAGUUUGUAUAUGAACAGGUGA